This 1050-nucleotide long non-coding RNA is filed under the name Numida meleagris (helmeted guineafowl). RNAcentral's name for it is "lncRNA (ENSNMEG00000000259.1)". Lineage: Eukaryota; Metazoa; Chordata; Aves; Galliformes; Numididae. The record is from RNAcentral.
AAGAAGAUGAAUUGUGAGACUUACAAAAAACUAUUUCAUUUUAUUUGUGUAUUUUAAAAAUACAUUGAGUAUUCAAGGAUAGCCUGGAUCUGCUCCUAGAAAGUUUUAUCUUAUUGCUCCAUCUAUUUUACCUGUUGAGCCAACCCCCCAAAAAGUAGAUUACAAAACAGUAAACAAAACUACAGUAUAAUACUUUACUUACCCACUUCAGUUUCUUCUGAAGUGGGCUAACUCUAUAAGGCUGUGCUUUCUAAGCACUCAGGCUGUGUUGUAUCUCAAACUGCUAAUAAAUGCCAGCUGUAACUAAUUGUGACAUUGGUGUAUAGUUCACAUUAGGAACAGCAGGACUACUUUUAAAACUGGAGCAGCUGUGGGUUACUAGAAGCAUAGCCUAUCACAGCAGUAAUGGGCCUUCCAAAGGCAAGGGUCAGCUGUAUAUAAGCUUUCUCAGAGCAAAACUGUGCUUUCUGAGGUUAAUCAGAGCUUGUGAGUGUUUUUGUCGUCUAUUGCAUCUGGCCAACUAUGACAGCAGGAGACAGGAAGGACAUGUGAAAGAAUAAGAUGGUAGUCAGAAGCUAGUCAGAAAUGCAAGCUGAUGACAGUCCUUAUCGUCAUUGUGAUGACAAUACUUGUUGGAGCCCUCAGGAUGUUACUGUGGACAGCCCAACAUUUCCUGGGGUGUGCCAUUGUAUGGGGGCUUAUGUGGCAAAGUUGGUAGCAGCAGGGCUGCUGUGAGAAGAGGACCCAGCUGCAGAGACUAGAACAAACCUCAACCCGUGGGUCACCCUUGCUGGAACAGUCUACUCCUAAAGUGCUGCAGACCCAUGCUGAAGCAGUUCUUGGAGAACUGCAGCCUAUAGGAAGUACUCACGUUGGAUCAGUUUUUGAAGGGCUGAAGCCUAUGGGAGGGACCCAGCACUGAAGGAGGGGAAAGAUGAAGUGCUAAGAACUGACCUGACCUCAACCCCUGUUCACCAUCUUUGUACUGCUUGGGAAAGAGGAUGUUUGGAGUGAAGGUGAGCCUAGGAAGAAAGGGGUGUGUGGAGGUGU